Molecule: long non-coding RNA, 7605 nt
Filed under: Capsicum annuum
Lineage: Eukaryota; Viridiplantae; Streptophyta; Magnoliopsida; Solanales; Solanaceae
Description: long non-coding RNA (CANN_LNC018148)
Source: RNAcentral
CGGGCUCCUGACUUGCUAUUCCAUCACUUUGUUGCUUGACAUUUGAUUUCUGCACUCUGUUCUCCAGGCGGGCUCCUGACUUGCUAUUUCAUCACCCUGUUCUUCAGGCAGGCUCCUGAAACCCAAAAUUAAAAACUAGAACAAAAUUAUCCCAAACAAAAAUUAUAGUAAAGUGGUAUUUCAUUUUUGAAAACAUUGUCCCAUUUUCUAGGAGGGUCCUGAGCAGAAAGUAAAAUUCCAUUUUUCAGGAGGGUCCUAAACAUAAAGUAAAAUUUCAUUUUUCAGGAUGGUCCUGAACACAAAGUAAAAUCCCAUUUUUUAAGAAGGUCCUGAACAGAAAGUAAAAUCCCAUUUUUCAGGAGGGUCCUGAACAGAAAGUAAAAAUCCCAUUUUUCAGUAGGGUCCUGAACAAAAGUAAAAUCCUAUUUUUUAGGAGAAUUCUGAACAUAAGGUAACAUCCCAUUUUUCAGGAGGGUUUUGAACAGCAAGUAAAAUCCCAUUUUUCAGGAGGGUCCUGAACAAAAGUAAAAUCCCAUUUUUCAGGAGGGUCCUGAACAUAAAGUAAAAUCCCAUUUUUCUGGAGGGUCCUGAACAGAAAGUAAAAUCCUAUUUUUCAGGAGGGUCCUGAACAUAAGGUAAAAUCCCAUUUUUCAGGAGGGUCCUGAACAGAAAUUAAAAUUCCCAUUUUCAGGAGGGUCCUGAAUAGAAAGUAAAAUUCCAUUUUUCAGGAGGGUCCUGAACAAAAAGUAAAAUUCUCAUUUUUCAGGAGGGUCUUGAACAGAAAGUAAAAUCUCACGGAUGUGCAUUUCCAAUGGUAGCUAAAUUAAGUGAAGCGAAUUUGCCCCUAUUUCAACAAAGAAAAUUUGUCAGUUAAAAACUUAGUGGUGGCUUGCAGAUCUUGGCUUCUCAGGUAUCUGCCCAGCACUCGUUCCUUUCAUCUUUGUUCUAAAUCACUAACACUUUCCCUUUCUUGCUGCAUCAUUGACCCGGAUCCAGAUUAAGGGAAAUGAGUUCAGACUCGAACAAUGGGUUUCCAUUUUACCAUGCCCCUGAGGUGCACUAUUUUCCCAAAUCUGAAUGCUUUCACGAAUCUAAUAGUCUGUCAGUUGAUAGACUUCCUUUGAUUCAUGUUGAAUUACAAUCAUAUUUUUUUCAUGUGCUAGUCCUUGGCUUUUUCUCAUAUAAUUGGAAAGACUGGUAGUAAAUUUUGAAAUCCUUUCUCGCUUGUUUUGACACAGACUUGACUUAAAAUGUAAAGANNNNNNNNNNNNNNNNNNNNNNNNNNNNNNNNNNNNNNNNNNNNNNNNNNNNNNNNNNNNNNNAAAGAAAAGGGCAAUGUCCCAUAUUCAAAAAGAAAACUUAUCUGAAUACGACAACCAACUCCAAUGAGUAUGACAUGCAUUUUGGAUUAAGCUGCCUUAUCUUCCUAUCCAAACUCUCCAUUUGUUGUUGAGUUCGUGCCUUUGAUGCUGAGCCGCUUCUUCAAAUCCAUUUGACUCAUACAUCACAUCCAAUUGACGACAUCUUAAAAGACUUUCGCCAACAAAUCUUUUUUUUUUCACUUUUCACUUUUCUCUUGAACUCGUCAUCGCCUUACGGUGCCCGUGAGGAUUUUCACCAAUAAGACUCUCUCAUUUUUAUUUCUCUCCACUCACCAUCACCUUAUGGUGCCUGCGAGGGUUUUCACCAAUAAGACUCUCUCAUUUUCAUUUCUCUCAACUCACCAUCGCCUUAUGAUGCCCACGGGGGUUUUCACCAAUAAGACUCUUAUUUUUGUAUUUCUUUCCUGAUUUCUUAUGUUGAGGGAGACAAGUGGUACCUCACAAUGUAUCAUCAUAUCCAUUGCAUGAUUAGCCUUAACAUUACCAAAAAUUGAUCUGAAGGACUUUCUUUGAUUGUAACUUGGCUUUUGGAUAAGGUUAGAAAAGGAUGGUCCCUUUAAUAUUAUUUUAUCCAAAUAUUUUUUAAUUUUAUAAUAUUAAAUAUAUCACAUAGAAAGUUGAAAUGUCAAAAAUCACAAGGUUUGUCUCAUGAAAAUUAGGCUGAAAGGGGUUGACAAGUUGUUAUUUUGGUGUAUGAAUACAGAAAUUGCUUAUUAAAUAAAUAAACCCUCUGAAUGGUAAAGGGACAGACUUUUUUCAUGCAUGCAGUCUUUUAGGUUUCUAUAUUUAUGUUAUUAAUAAUAGGGACAAGGUUAUUCUAUCGGUAGUAAAAGUGAAUUAGCACUUCAAAAACAGAUUUUCGACCACUUUCCUAGCGCAAUAAUAUACUCUUUUUUCCGUCUCAAAUUAUGUGGCAUAAUUUUUAAAAAUAUUUAUCUUAAAUUAUUUAUCAAUUUGUAUUAUUAAAAAAGAGCAGUUCAUAUGCAACUUUAGUUUAUAUUUCUACCAUUAAAGUGCCCAUUAUAUACAAGGUCUGGAGAAGGGACUCACCACUAAAGUGCCUGUUAUGUACUGGGUCAUACUUUUGACAUUAAAGUGCCCUUUAUAUACAAGGUCUGGAGAAGGGACCCAUCACUAAACUGCCCGUUAUGUACAGGGUCAUAUUUCUACCAAUAAAGUGCCCGUUAUAUACAAGGUCUGGAGAAAGGUCCCACCACUAAAGUGCCUGUUAUGCACAGGGUUCCGAAAAGGGUCCGACACAAGGAUGUAUUGCAUGCAGCCUUAACUUAUAUUUCUGCCACAUAUUUAUGUCAGAGUCAGUUUUCAAGGCUUGAAACCGUGACCUCCCUAUCACAUGACAAUAACUUUCCAAGACUUGAAACCGUGACCUCCUUAUCACAUGACAAUAACUUUACUAGUUACUCCAAGGCUCCCCUUUGUCAAUUUAGAUUAUUAAGAUACAUAAUUAUCCUUUUUCUAUUUUAUUCUUAAUAGUAAUUUUUUUGAAGACUAUAUAUAAAUACUUUAUUAUAAUAAGAUGAAGACAUAUAAAAGGUUUCAUUAAUAGAGAGAAAUUGUUCUUUAAGACAUAAAUAAGUAAGCACUUUUAAGACAUAAUUAAUACAUAUCCAUAUGAGAUUAAGAAAAAAAAAAGAGGUUAUUUCCGAGAGAUUCUCAACAAUCCACUUCUUUUAUCCGAACUUGGAAUCGACAAGUUUAUAGAACACAAGAUUAAAUAAUAUUUUUGAAUAUUUGACAUAACAUUAAUUUAAAAUCACAAGAUUUAAAAAGUCUUUUUUUCUUUCUUUUUAUCAGAGCUACAGAGCAGACAGAGGUCAGUCGGUACACAGUAGUAGUAGUGCUCCUCCUCUGUGGAGCAUCCACAGGUAGUACAAAUCAGUGAAAGUGGUGUUGGGUUCGAAAUCGAGAGGGCGUCAUGCGGAAGAUAUUAGUUACAAACUAUCGUGGUGAUAAUUCAGACGACAAAGAAAACAAUACUAAAAACAUAAUAUUAUUAUAUGAUUUGGCCAAUUGACCUACAUAUAAAACCUAAUAUUAAAAAUAAUACUAAAAAGCAUAAAACUAAUGAGAGAGAAAAUCUUCCUCUAAACAAAACUCUUAAAAGACUAUAUUGUGGGAAGUUCAAACACUAUGAAAAUAAUAAACAAUGGUUAAUUAGUUGGGCAUUUAGAAGUUUUGGGUACUCCAAAUCCCUCUUUUCUUUCUUUUCUCGCGUAGUGUAGGUAACUAAACAAAAAUUUAUGUUUUUAUUUGUAGAUAAUAUUACUGAGUGAUUUCUUUUCUCGUGUAGAUAGCUUAACAAAAGUUUAUGUUUUUAUUGUUAGAUAUUACUGUGAGUGAAGAAGGUGCGGUAGCACAUUUUUGGGAUUUCGUACUACGCGGAUUGGUACUCUUUUCAUUUGUUGGAAAUCGAUUUCAAUUUAUCUUUGUGAAAUUUUGACUUAUUUUAAUUAUUUUAUUGUUAGAUCACUAUUUCUUCGGAGGUAAUGAUAUGGAUUAUGUACAUUUUAUCCUCCCCAAAUUCCACUAUGUGAGAAUACAUUGUGUGUAUUGUUGCUGUUGUUUCAUAUCGCGCCUGUGUAUACAUUGGGCAUUUAGAAGUUUUGGGUUCGAAAUUAAGAGGGCAUCAUGCAGAUGCAAAUCCCUUUCGAAUGAAAUUUAGCAACAAUACGCAGUAUAUAUUGUUAGAUCACUACUUCUUCGGAGGUAGCGAUAUGAACUGUGUACAUUUACUUUAAGAAAAGUAAAACAUAAGUAGUGACGGAUCCAGAAUUUAGGGCUUGUGGGUUAUCGUGAGGUUCGGACACAAAUAUUGAUCUUCAAAGCUUUAAGGUUCCGCUUGAAAACCAAAACACUCAGCUAUCUUUUUUAUUUUCUUGGUGCUUUUUGAAGCUUAUACUAAUUUUUAUAUUUUUUUUUUAUAAUUAUACCUAACAAAUUUAACGGGUAUCGAAGUACCAAAAAUACAUAUAGUUCCACCCCUGCUUAUGAGAGAGUAGACAAAAACUUUAUAUACUUAAGUAGCCAUUGUCCAUGAAACGCCCCACAAAAAUCACUUCAUUUGAAAUUUUAAAGUUGAAGUUGGAGCUGAAAUUGUGUUUAGACAUAGUUUUUACAGUUAAUAUUAAGAAUUUAAAUGUAUUUUUGACCAAAAAAAAUUUGAAUAUGGAAUGAAAUUUAAAUAGCAUUAUUUUAUGAAAAUAAAAAAGUUAGGAAUUUUAUGAGGAAAAAAAAAUUAAAAAGUGAAAAAUUUUAAAACAAGGUUUUGGUUAUUUUGAAUUUGAAAUUUUCAUGAUCAAACACUAUUCUUCAAAGAAAGUGAAAUAAAUUUUUGAAAAUAAGUGAAAAAUAUUAAUGGCCAAAAAUAUCUAAUGAAAUUUAUCAUUCUCGACCAUCUUGAGAAAUUGGAGUUGUGAGUGUUAUAGCUUGUAGGGCUUUUAUCUUGCCCUCUUUCUUCAGAAUGUCGAGGUCCAGAGGGACCUGCUCUAUCCACAGAAGAUUUCUCCCUCCUAUAGAAAUUCCCCCUUUUCUUCUAUUAAUUUGCUAUAGUAAAAAGCCACUUCCUAUAGAAUUACACCACUUCAGUUCGGUGUGCAUUUUUGGGCUAAAUCGGUGUGCUAUAUAGCUCACGGUUUCGGGGAUUGGCCCGGGGUUCGGGUGUGCUGUGGGUCAAAAAUUGACCGGGGAGUGCCAGAGAGGUUGAGGAUUGCCCCAGUGUGGUCCGUUUAAAUUUUCGUGGCCAUUUGGGUGGACAAACGGGCGAAACGGCGGGAAAGGGACAUUUUUAUAGCCAAAUCGGUGUGUUAUAUCCCAUGAUUUCAGGGUAGACAUGGGGUCCGAGCGUGCUGUAGGCCGAAAAUUGAUCGGGGUGUGCCAGGAAGGUUGAGGAUGAUCCCAGUGUGAUCAAUUUAUGCUUAAGAGUGACUGAUGGCGCUAAGUAACUCUUGAUAUAUUAUUGUAAUAGAAGUUACAGAGUAGCAACUAAGCAAGCAUUAGAGCAGAUUUAAAGGAUACUACAAUUAACGGUGAUUAUCUAAGCAUUUAUCUCGAACUCCAAUAACGCUGAACACCAAUCAAGAACUCAAUGAUCUCAUUUCAUUGCCACCAACUUCUUCUUUCUUCCUGCAAAAAUCUGAGCUCUCUUACUCAAAUCCAUGCUUGUAUAAUCACUUCAACAUUCCCAUCACAACCCAUCUCAUAAAUCUUUACUCUUCCUUCAAAAGACCCAAUUUUUCUCGCACCCUUUUUGAUUUAACACCAAACCCACCUCUAAUUCUAUUGAAUUCAAUGAUCAGAGCUUAUAUAAGAGCAAAUCAGCAUCAAGAUUCCUUGAAGGUUACGGGUUCAAGCCUUGGAAUCCAACAGCUUCUGGCAGAAAUACAAGGUACCCGUGUGGUGGAGCCCUUUUCCGGACACCGCGCAUAGUGGUAGCUUUAAUUGCACCAGAUUGCCCUUUUAUGUUCUAUUAAUUUGCUAUAGUAAAAAGUCACUUCCUACAGAAUUACACCUCUUCGUGAGAACAAGUUAUGGAUACAACAUAUGCAAAGGACCCAACCAUAUAACAUACCACUAUAUGGAUACAACAUAUAACAUACCCACAAGUGGGGUUUGGGGAGGGUAGAGUGUACCUAGACCGUGGACACUAAGCCUCGAGUACAUCAAAUCAUAGUAGUAGGUAUGGAAAAAGGGAAAAUAUAGCAACAAAUAAUUAAGUGGAAAGUAACCACCACAAAAUAGUGUGACAACCUAAACGCAUUAAACAACAACAGAUGAAAGUAACAAAUAAUAGAGUUAGCCAGUUGAAUAAGAUUAUAUACCUAAUGGGGAGGGAGACCAGCUAUUGAAACAUGAAAUGCCAUAUGUUUUCAUCUUUACCAUAAUAACUACGUUGAAAUGGCGAGAUUUUUUAGAUACCCAUGAUGUCCAGGUCAUCUUGCACGCAUCUCGACUAAUUUCACGCCCUGCCACCUCCCACCGGCACAAACGUCUCGUCUCAAGAAUCAACCAAUGCAAUAUGCUUCAACUAAACGAGAUACAAAAUAAUAAAACAUCACAGUAAAAUUAUCUUAUACAGAAUAAUCGAUGAAUGGCACACUCUAAUUUUUUCUUAAACUUUUGGCGAAUUCCCUCUUUUCUUCUAUUAAUUUGCUAUAGUAAGAAUCCACUUCCUACAGAAUUACACCACUUCAGUUCAGGGCCUAAAGAUUGUAAAGUUGAAAUCUCAAAACAAUUGGAGGAGCAAAGUUGAGCGAUUAAACCUCACGUUUGGUAUGUUGUUUAAUGGAUGUUGUUGUUUUUUGGCAUCCAUAUGAUGCCUUCGAAAGAAAUAAAAAGAAGUUAAAGCUAGAAAACAAUAGUAAGCAUAUUAUAAACUCUUUUCUUUUAUGUUAAGUUAGGAUAUCCAUUAAUGUCUUCCUUCACUAUCUUUUCAUAAUACCCUUCUAGAGAUCCUUUAUCUAACAUAGUUUCAAAUGCCAUUGAUAAAGAAAGCCUACCAGCAGCUUAAUGAAAAAAAUUGUACAUCGAGUUAGCAAACUAAUGCGAUAAAGAUAUUUACUGAGAAAUUAGAACCUAUAUGGGAAAAGUUUUACUCAAAUUUACGUAUUUAGAGGAGUUUGUUCCGUAAGGAUCGUCGGCUGAACAAUCAACAUCAACAAACAGAACCAACAAAAAAUUUCUCACAGAGUUUCAUUAAACUCAAUACAUCUAAUAGUAAUCUCCCUAAGUCGUUUGUUCAGAGCUGUAAACCAUAUUGACGAGCGUAAACAUGAAUAUAAUUAUUUGAUGAAGAAUAAACAUAGAGAAAAGCAUUAGAUACCUCGCUUUCUUGUAGCUAUUGAGAAUACUUCUUCCAGCCAUCAUCGUCAAACACAAAUUGAUCAUCUGAAUCUGAAUCUUCCAUAUCAGGCGUCAUUGGUAAAGGAUCCAAUUUUUUGGAGUCGCUCGAAUCAUCAUCCCCUUUCCCCUCCUCCUCCUCAUCAUCAUUAAGCUUUUGCUUCUUCACCUCCGAUUCCAACUCCAAAUCCGAAUCCGAAUCACUCGAAACACUCGAAACAUACGAGCAUUCGGAUGAUUCGCUCGAGAAAUCAUCCAUCACGAUUCCGAUCUCAGCCGGUGUCGGUUGUGGAGGUAGUGGCAGUAGCCGCAGCGGCGGAGGUGACGGUUGCUCGGAAAACAUCACAACGAAUUGACAUACCAAAAC